GUUUCCUCUCGAUUUUGCCGUUAGAAGAAGACAUGGGAAGAGCUUCAUCCGCCGAGGCGUAACCGGCCGGGGUUUUGUUCAUAUCUUGUUCAUCUCUAUCUUCGCCGUCGAUCUUUGGAGUCUCCGCCGUCUGUUCAUAGUCAGACAGAUUGUUCAAACUCACGCACUUUCUCAUCGGGUCAAGCACAACCCUGACUCCGAACAGCAUAAUCUCUCUUCUUGUGCCGCUUCCAGCGC
RNAcentral lists this small RNA (237 nucleotides) under Arabidopsis thaliana (thale cress). RNAcentral describes it as "ATSL072640". Lineage: Eukaryota; Viridiplantae; Streptophyta; Magnoliopsida; Brassicales; Brassicaceae. The record is from RNAcentral.